GCCUACGGGGGGCAGCAGUAGGGAAUCUUCCACAAUGGGCGAAAGCCUGAUGGAGCAACGCCGCGUGGGUGAAGAAGGUCUUCGGAUCGUAAAACCCUGUUGUUAGAGAAGAAAGUGCGUGAGAGUAACUGUUCACGUUUUGACGGUAUCUAACCAGAAAGCCACGGCUAACUACGUGCCAGCAGCCGCGGUAAUACGUAGGUGGCAAGCGUUAUCCGGAUUUAUUGGGCGUAAAGGGAACGCAGGCGGUCUUUUAAGUUUGAUGUGAAAGCCUUCGGCUUAACCGGAGUAGUGCAUUGGAAACU
Molecule: ribosomal RNA, 305 nt
Filed under: uncultured bacterium
Lineage: Bacteria
Description: bacterial SSU rRNA
Rfam family: Bacterial small subunit ribosomal RNA
Source: RNAcentral